AAAAUCUUUUACCUAAAAGAACACCUAUAAUAAAUUCCCCCUUCUCCAAUAUGUUUGUCCUCAAACAUGAGAAAAUACACAUAUAUGUACAAAAACAUUAAACGUAAAGAAAAUAUAUACAAUAAUCAUGAAGAAUAAAUUGAUAUACACAAGAAAAUGCAUAGAUAAAGAUAGAAUUUUUUGCAAGAUAAGAUGAAAAAUUCAAUAUUAGACAAAAUUGCUAGACUAAGAAAAUUGCCAGAUUAAGAAAAUUGCCAGAUAAGAUAUGAAAAGCAAGACUAAAAAUGAAAAAUAAGACAAGACAUAUGCAAAGAAGAAUUCUAGACUGAGAAUUUCAUAAAAAAAACAAAUUUUUUGGCUGUAUGCUCCUUGUAUAAGGUGGUCAGCCCUAUACAAGUGCAGGGUGUGAAGUUGAAUGACCAGUCCACAUCCAAAUGGUUUUUAACAUUAAUAUAUACUUUUAAAACAAAAAUGUAACAUACAAAAAAAAAAAUACUAGCUAGUAUUAUGAUAAAAGUACAAACAAAACAUCCAAAAGCAUAUUUACAAUACCUGUAUAUAUCUUCUUACAUUAACUUUAUUCUAUAUACAUGUCAUUCAUUAUUUGCCAAUCUAUGUGGCUAUACUCAAUAAUAUUCUCAUUUAUACCAAUCUAUAUUCUCAAUUAUACCAAUCUUUAUUCUCAUUUACCUAGGCGGAUCCAGGGGGAGGGGGGUUUGGGGUGCCCGGGCCCCCCCCCCUUUUGUGGGAAAAAUUUUGUUGAUUAUAUAGAGAAUCAUUGAAGCAUGACUGGAGUUGGCCCCUCCUUAGAUAAGUCAGAUAAGAUAAGUGGCUUAAUAAAAAUAGUAGCUACAAUUCAUUAUUACAUAAUAUAAAACACUAUCAUAUUUGACAAAUGUACAUGUACUAUUCACACAUUUAUCUUCUCCUCAUACUUAUUUCAAUUUUGUACUGAAUAAUACAUUUAUAAAGUUAUUAAUUGACGCAUUUAACAGACUAUCAAACAUAUCCCACUCUGGUGCAAUGACUGGAUUCCUGUAUCCCGACAAAUAUUCUGUUGUACCAUCUAUGUUGUAUCUAAUUUCAUGUAUUUUUCCAUCAGAAGCUAUUUGAAAACUGCAGUCACAUUGAAUUUCCUUUCCUAAUCUUUUCUCCAUAGCAUAAUGAAUGUCUUGUUGUAAAAGAGCUUGUUUGAAACGUUACUUAUGAUCUAUUUAAACUUGUCGUGCAGUAUUUGGUGCUGAAGUCAUUGAUUCAUAUUUUGUAGUAUUUUUAGAUUUAAUUAAAAAGUAUGGUCGGUUGUUAACAAUUCUUAUAGCUAAUUAAUAACUGUUGAUGUUCAAUUCUUUGAUCUUGUCCAUUGAUGGUUUCAGUUGGAGUGCUUAUGUCGGCUGUGACGUUAGUUGAAAUAUAUUGUACACUAUUAACAGCUGGAUCUGGUUUUGUGAAACAUUUGUGUUUAUUAUGCUGUAAUUACCAUUUUCUUUUCUUACCACUCAUUGUACGUUGUGCAUGAAAUUCUCGUAUUAGUUUUGCUGGGACCUUGCAUGGAAAAUACCAUUCUGUGUUUCUUGAUUUAUCGGUAAACGUAAGUUUAUUAUAUAAUGUACCAUUACCCCUAAUGAUAACACUUGUUGAAUCUCCUCUUCUAUGAAUGCUUUGCACUUAUUGUUCUUACAAUCCUGACACGAUGGUUUGUUGUCUUUUACUGGUGCAUUUACGGUUGAAUCUCCUGAAGGGCCUCUUAUUUGUUUCACUAUUUUGUGGUGGUUGUUGUUUUUUUUCCAUCCAUCCAAGCUAUUAAAACAGUGAUGCUGAUGCUGUAUAUGGAUCACCAUCUAAAAUAAGUCUUUUAGCCCUUAAAUACAAUCUAAUAAUUCUCACUAGGUUAUUUUUUA
RNAcentral lists this long non-coding RNA (1898 nucleotides) under Mytilus galloprovincialis (Mediterranean mussel). Lineage: Eukaryota; Metazoa; Mollusca; Bivalvia; Mytilida; Mytilidae. The record is from RNAcentral.